This 495-nucleotide ribosomal RNA is filed under the name uncultured bacterium. RNAcentral's name for it is "partial 16S ribosomal RNA". It matches the Rfam family "Bacterial small subunit ribosomal RNA", at positions 28 to 507 of the family's 1533-position model. The record is from RNAcentral.
GACGAACGCUGGCGGCGUGCCUAAUACAUGCAAGUAGAACGCUGAAGGAGGAGCUUGCUUCUCUGGAUGAGUUGCGAACGGGUGAGUAACGCGUAGGUAACCUGCCUGGUAGCGGGGGAUAACUAUUGGAAACGAUAGCUAAUACCGCAUAAGAGUAGAUGUUGCAUGACAUUUGCUUAAAAGGUGCAAUUGCAUCACUACCAGAUGAACCUGCGUUGUAUUAGCUAGUUGGUGGGGUAACGGCUCACCACGGCGACGAUACAUAGCCUACCGGAGAGGGGGAGCGGCCACACUGGGACGGAGACACGGCCCAGACUCCUACGGGAGGCAGCAGUAGUGAAUCUUCGGCAAUGGACGGAAGUCUGACCGAGCAACGCCGCGUGAGUGAAGAAGGUUGUCGGAUCGGAAAGCUCGGUUGUAAGAGAAGAACGAGUGUGAGAGUGGAAAGUUCACACUGUGACGGUAUCUUACCAGAAAGGGACGGCUAACUACGUG